RNAcentral lists this ribosomal RNA (426 nucleotides) under uncultured bacterium. RNAcentral describes it as "partial 16S ribosomal RNA". It matches the Rfam family "Bacterial small subunit ribosomal RNA", at positions 354 to 796 of the family's 1533-position model. The record is from RNAcentral.
GUGGGGAAUAUUGGGCAAUGGGCGAAAGCCUGACCCAGCAACGCCGCGUGAAGGAAGAAGGUUUUCGGAUCGUAAACUUCUAUCCUUGGUGAAGAUAAUGACGGUAGCCAAGAAGGAAGCCCCGGCUAACUACGUGCCAGCAGCCGCGGUAAUACGUAGGGGGCAAGCGUUGUCCGGAAUGAUUGGGCGUAAAGGGCGCGUAGGCGGCCCGGUAAGUCUGAAGUGAAAGUCCUGCUUUUAAGGUGGGAAUUGCUUUGGAUACUGUCGGGCUUGAGUGCAGGAGAGGUAAGCGGAAUUCCCGGUGUAGCGGUGAAAUGCGUAGAGAUCGGGAGGAACACCAGUGGCGAAGGCGGCUUACUGGACUGUAACUGACGCUGAGGCGCGAAAGUGUGGGGAGCAAACAGGAUUAGAUACCCUCUGUAGUCC